RNAcentral lists this ribosomal RNA (229 nucleotides) under uncultured bacterium. RNAcentral describes it as "partial 16S ribosomal RNA". It matches the Rfam family "Bacterial small subunit ribosomal RNA", at positions 568 to 796 of the family's 1533-position model. The record is from RNAcentral.
UCCGUAGGCGGGCAGCUAAGUCAGUGGUGAAAGUCUGCAGCUCAACUGUAGAAUUGCCAUUGAUACUGGUUGUCUUGAAUUAUUAUGAAGUGGUUAGAAUAUGUAGUGUAGCGGUGAAAUGCAUAGAUAUUACAUAGAAUACCAAUUGCGAAGGCAGAUCACUAAUAAUAUAUUGACGCUGAUGGACGAAAGCGUGGGGAGCGAACAGGAUUAGAUACCCUGGUAGUCC